This is a long non-coding RNA of Aegilops tauschii subsp. strangulata, 1021 nucleotides long. RefSeq lists it as uncharacterized. The record is from RefSeq and is a predicted model, not a curated record. NCBI's taxonomy places the organism in Eukaryota, Viridiplantae, Streptophyta, Magnoliopsida, Poales, Poaceae.
UUUAUCAUCUCCUUCUCACGUUCUGCUUGGCAGACAAGAUCCAAACCCUGAUUCCCGUCUUGCCGCCGUCUUCUACUAUUUCAGUCUGGCGUGGACUCCUGCGACCGGCGAACUGGUCACUGGGGCUUGCCGGCGAAUGGGGUGGCGAGCGGCCGGCAAGAGUGUAACGCCGCUGAGAGGCCAGAGGCUGUUCAUGGCUCCUGGGCUCGUCUCGUCGCGGCCGGGCAGGCGACGCCGGCGCCGCGCGCAGAGAUCCGGGCCCCUGCAGCAAGCUAAACCAAGUUUUGAAACUGGAGCAGCGAACAAUUCUAAAGUCGCUUUAGGCUCUUGGUUGCAUCUAAUAUUGACAUCCAUUGUUUCCAGUAGAUUACCAGGACAGGCCAUCUCAAUGUAGUUUGGUAGAUUUGUACUCUCAUUGAAAAAUGGGUCAGUUGGCCUUCUCCCAGUUAGCAUCUCCAACAAUAGCACACCAUAGCUGUACACGUCACCUUCUACAGAUAUUUCUGUCCCCAUGCCAUACUCUGGUAAAGGAAGGAAAGGAAAGGGCUUGUGUUAGUUUUCUUAUAAACUGUAUGGUAUAAAUAUAAUCCAUUCCACUCACAUUCCUUAGUUGUUUACAUAUAGUAGUUGGCUGUAUUCUUGGCACAACAAAUUAUUGUAAGUGGACAAAUAUAUAUUUUUCAGAUUCUCAUUUUACCACUAGAGGAUGGCAUGAAGGAUACACAGGAAAUCCGCUCUUUUUUAAAUUAUGAAACCAUAAGAAUUGGAGGCUUAAAGCUUCUUAUAAUUACUAAAAAGAAUCAUGAACACUUGUUCAGGGAAAUUUACUGAUUUUUUAGACAAUGUUACUGACUGUUGAGUCAACAAUAACAAUGUACGGUGGAGCCAAGCGGCUGCCAGGGGAGGAACAAAUGUGAGGUUACCAUUUCUUUUAUCUACAUGUUAAUAAAGUCUUGCAUAAAUAUCUUUAAGCAAUUACUGAAAAUGUGGAGUAAGAAGGAAACAACAUACCUGGUGCAAG